Molecule: transfer RNA, 66 nt
Filed under: Paratemnopteryx couloniana
Lineage: Eukaryota; Metazoa; Arthropoda; Insecta; Blattodea; Blattellidae
Description: tRNA-Asp
Source: RNAcentral
GAAGGUUUAGUUAAUUUAUAACAUUAGAAUGUCAAACUAAAAUUAUCAUUAUCUUGAUAUCCUUUU